This 483-nucleotide ribosomal RNA is filed under the name Yersinia intermedia. RNAcentral describes it as "bacterial SSU rRNA". It matches the Rfam family "Bacterial small subunit ribosomal RNA", at positions 20 to 493 of the family's 1533-position model. Lineage: Bacteria; Pseudomonadati; Pseudomonadota; Gammaproteobacteria; Enterobacterales; Yersiniaceae. The record is from RNAcentral.
CUGCUCAAAUUGAACGCUGGCGGCAGGCCUAACACAUGCAAGUCGAGCGGCAGCGGGAAGUAGUUUACUACUUUGCCGGCGAGCGGCGGACGGGUGAGUAAUGUCUGGGAAACUGCCUGAUGGAGGGGGAUAACUACUGGAAACGGUAGCUAAUACCGCAUGACCUCGCAAGAGCAAAGUGGGGGACCUUCGGGCCUCACGCCAUCGGAUGUGCCCAGAUGGGAUUAGCUAGUAGGUGGGGUAAUGGCUCACCUAGGCGACGAUCCCUAGCUGGUCUGAGAGGAUGACCAGCCACACUGGAACUGAGACACGGUCCAGACUCCUACGGGAGGCAGCAGUGGGGAAUAUUGCACAAUGGGCGCAAGCCUGAUGCAGCCAUGCCGCGUGUGUGAAGAAGGCCUUCGGGUUGUAAAGCACUUUCAGCGAGGAGGAAGGCAGUCGUGUUAAUAGCACGAUUGAUUGACGUACUCGCAGAAGAAGCAC